Molecule: long non-coding RNA, 520 nt
Filed under: Homo sapiens (human)
Lineage: Eukaryota; Metazoa; Chordata; Mammalia; Primates; Hominidae
Description: non-protein coding lnc-SMIM14-6:1
Source: RNAcentral
UGGUCUUCAGAGCUUUCCAAACUGCAGCAAAUGCUUUUCUUGCCCAGAGAAUAAGCAGCAUUAACUCCAUAAGUGCUCUGUGUGAAGCAACAGGAGCUGAUGUAGAAGAGGUAGCAACAGCGAUUGGAAUGGACCAGAGAAUUGGAAACAAGUUUCUAAAAGCCAGUGUUGGUUUGGUGGGAGCUGUUUCCAAAAGGAUGUUCUGAAUUUGGUUUAUCUCUGUGAGGCUCUGAAUUUGCCAGAAGUAGCUCGUUAUUGGCAGCAGUCAUAGACAUGAAUGACUACCAGAGGAGGAGGUUUGCUUCCCGGAUCAUAGAUAGUCUGUUUAAUACAGUAACUGAUAAGAAGAUAGCUAUUUUGGGAUUUGCAUUCAAAAAGGACACUGGUGAUACAAAGAAUCUUCUAGUAUAUAUAUUAGCAAAUAUUUGAUGGAUGAAGGUGCACAUCUACAUAUAUAUGAUCCAAAAGUACCUAGGGAACAAAUAGUUGUGGAUCUUUCUCAUCCAGGUGUUUCAGAGGA